This is a long non-coding RNA of Oreochromis niloticus (Nile tilapia), 5169 nucleotides long. RefSeq lists it as uncharacterized. The record is from RefSeq and is a predicted model, not a curated record. NCBI's taxonomy places the organism in Eukaryota, Metazoa, Chordata, Actinopteri, Cichliformes, Cichlidae. The transcript is spliced from 7 exons.
AAGCUGCUGGAUUUACUGGAGAGACUCAAGCAGUUUGUCAAUUCUCAAGUACGCGAGUCCGCACUUUCGCUGCGAGAGCAGCUGAAAGUGAGGCUGACCCCCCCAGCCACUUGAAACGUAAAGGCAAAUAGGCGGAGCGGUUAGUGCUACGUUUGUGCAGAUUUGUGCAGGUAAAAUUACGCUGGCCUACGCUGUAUAACACCAGUGUCUGUGGCAGUGAGUUUCAGCAGCUGUGGAGUUAUGCACUUUUACAGAAGACUGUCCACUUUUUCUAGGCUUGCUGCAUAUUAAGUUUUCUCAGUUUACACUUUAGUAAACCAAUUUAGUCAGCGGAAAGGUUGAUAUUUCUUUUGUUGCUAGUGCAGAAACAUACACAAGGUAGGCUAACGUUUUUAUUUUUUUCUGUGGAAAACAUUUUUAUACAUACCCAGUAUGUCUCUGUGAUUUGGUUUUGAAUUAUAUAUGUUUGUUAUUAAUAAUGUAGCUGUCUCAGAAAAAAAUGAAGAAAAUUGUAGAAAACAUGUAGAAAAUUCCACAGGGGGAAAGGGGGCCCUUUCAAAUUGAAAAUUCCACAGCACCUAGGCCAGGGAGCUUCAACCUGCGGCUCUAAAGCCACAUGUGGCUCUCUGGCCACAUCCACCGUGGCUCUUAUAAGACUAACUUUCACGAUACGAAACCAAAUUCUGUUUGGUUUGCAAGAGAUGGAUUGGAGAGUGGCCUGAGGCAGGUAGACUCAGGUAGGCCAAGUCCUUCUACAGCAGUGCCAAGAUGAGCCAUACCAGACUCUUUGAGGACAGAGAUGGCAGGAGAAACAAAUGGCACUUCCCUUGUCAUCCCUUUGCUGAGGUAGCAGUGCUGUGAAGAGCAGUGUUUGGUAAAAUAAACACUUGAUAUGUUCCUCAUUGUCUUAGGAAUUACAGCGGAGAUAUUGCACUGAGCAUCGAUUUGGAUGGCACCAGACCUCAACUGGACAGCUUCAAACAUUACACUAAACAGCUCUGCCCUCCUCCUGUAUGUUUGUUGGGUCACACCAUCUGUGGCAAUGGCUUUCACCAGCUGCAAGACUGGGUUUUCACUGUCUUUCAGGACAGCAUUUUGAAAUGUGGAGCUGUCACAGAACGCACAGCAUAAGCACGAAAAAAUGCAUCAAAUGCACGUGUUCAUCACAGAGAUUGUUGAUUCCCCUAAUAUGCUGAUGAAGGUUUCCAUUUUUUAAUAAUUCCACCUUCACUCGUUUUGCCCCCAAAGAUUCAUCUGCAUGGAGCCAUUCGGUACAUGAAGAGAGGUAAGAAGUCCUCUUCCUUUCUUUGGGCGGAACAGCUAGGCCCCACGAGUUUGCUGCAGCAAGUGACCUGCUCUCUUCACAUAUUCCUGUUACCCACUGUCGUAGGUCAGUCUGGAUCUCAUCAACUGAAUCCACUCUCUCCCCUUCCUCUGUCUGUUCAUCUGGAAUGAUGAUGGAGAUUGAGCAAUUUGGGCUUUCAGGUAUUUCUUGCACCUUUCUGAAGGAAGAGGUGCUCCAGAACUCUCAUCACCUUCUGCCUCACUGAGGGCCACAACAGUGAUAGCACGUAGGAAGAAGUUUUGCUAAUGACCUGACAAAGACAAAUCUUCUUCUUCAGGCAGUCCCACUGGCAUAUCAUCUUGAUGCAGUGUGCAACAUCAACCCUCAUAAAACAAGAGGGAGUUUGGCAGACUGGGUUCCAAGAAGGACAUGCAAGCAUUCAUUAAGAGUGGCCAAACUUGGAAGGUAGCUUGGCUCAGGAUUUCCAACAUCUGUCAAAUCUGCUGGCUUCACUGACCUCCAUACAGCUGGUUCCAUUCUGCCCUCACACAGCUCUUUAGCGAUCUGUUCACGCAGGUAUUUUUGAUCAUCUUCCAUAUAAGAUCGUUGAUGAUAUGAGUCCAAGUGGCAGGCUUUAUAAUUGUGUAUUCCCUUUUUUGAGAAAGAGAAAACUUGUCAUUGUAUUUAACCUUCAGCUGAAUUCAAAAGCUUGACAGUUUUCUUAUCCAGGAGAAAUGCAAUGUGAAUCUAACUCUCCUUCACUUUACAAACGAUAAUUUUACCUGCACAAAUCUGCACAAACAUAGCGCUAUAAUUAAUUAAUUUGUCCAUAUUUCUAGAAAUGAGAGCUGCUCCAUCCAAAUUGGGAUGGAUGCCGUCUCCUCUAACAAGACGAGGUUUCCUCCAGAAAGUUUCCCAAUUAUCUAUGAAGCUCAUAUCAUUUUUUGGACACCCCUCAGACAGCCAGCAAUUUAAGAAAGACAUGAAGAUAAAAUUAGAUGAAUUGAAGAAAUAAGUGAGAAAGAAGAUAGAGAAGAACAUACUAAGGCCAUAAAAUACUAUUUAUCCCUUCUGGAUGUUAGCUCACAAGCUAUCACGGGUUGCCAAGACCAGAAAAAAACCAAAGUUUUCUACAUCUUGCCUAUGUCAGCCCCUAAGAGGGCUGCAAUGGGGAUACUGAAGAUGCACACUAAUAAACACAAAAAAUUAUUUUCUUAGCAGAUUGUUCUAUUUAUUUAACCAUUACACUGUCCAAACCAUAAAUCAGUACAUGGACUAAAAAAAAAAAAACCCAAACAAAUGCACAGACUGCAGAAACAAACACAACUGCGAAUGUUGCCCUAAUUAUUACACCAAAUUACGACAUCAACCUGCACAAUCAAACCAAAUCAACAGGAAGUUUCAGCCCAUGCUCACCCUUCCGCUUAUGAAACACCAGAUGAGGGGAAAGGAUGAGAAUCAUCCUUUAAGAACCGGGUGAAUCUGCAGGACAGACAGAUGAAGGAUGGAGACGUGUCUUUGGUUCAGAAGAAUGUGAGUUUUGGUGUUGAUGGAACAUGCAAGUGUCGUGUGAUCAUGAGAAGAACAUACUGGAUUAAAUACAUCAUCAACCUGGUUGUCGUUCCUCCAGGUGAGAUUUAACCGCUACAAACCAAACCGUUAUCUCUGAGAUGGAGAGGAGUGAGGAGGAUUGGCCUGGAUCACACGUUAGAAGUAUUUCACCAAGACUGAUAACUGCAUCAGUGUAAAAGUUCUUUAAAAAGAAAGGAACCAAAGAUCUGUGGAGUCUUUGCGCUUAUAUGAAAACCCCUGUGAGGACUUCACCAAACACUGCAGUAUAAAUGUAUUCAUAGCACAGCUCCUUCUAUAAUAACAAAGUGACACUCAGCUCUGUGCUAAUCCUCGGAGCUCAGAGUCCCACUGACAGUAACUGUAACCUCCAUCCCUCUGCUGUCAAACAUGAGCUUUAGACGUCUGAGCAAUUUAUAAGAACAAUGAGAAAAAACAACAGAACACAUUUAACAGAACACCAAACAUAUGUAGGAGAGCUGAUGUGAUCUAAAAGUUAACUCCUGUUUUCAUCUUUAGCCUGUGAUUGAAGCUGUGAGUGUUUUAUUGGUGUAACCCAGACAUACUUUUCAGGUCACAUUUGACAGCAGGAAAAUCCCCCACAUGUUAUUAUUUGAGCCUGAAAUUUAAUGAGUUUUCCUAAAAUUACUCACAAAAAUCAAAAUCUUAUUGUAAAGAACACACAGCAGACACAUCCACAUAUUCCUGCAUACUUUGCUGUUAUUCACCAGUUGCAUGCUAUGGCUUUCCAGUCGCUGGCCCAAGAUACACAACAACACCAUCUCAGGACCCAGUACGGUGAGGCAUGAUUGCAGAUUCCGCACCAUUGCAUCUAUCUCGCUGCAGCCACAACCCGCGACAGUCACAUUUGAAUACUGUUUUUAUGAUGUACGGGUGCUGCAGAUAUUUCUGACCUAUUGAGGUCGAUUUUGUCUCCACAAGCGUGCAUUAAGUCAGGGAAAAUUAUCAUUUACUGAAUCUCAGACCUGUGACACUGUUCAUGUUGUGUGUGUGUAUUUUCUUCGUGGGGCAGAGGUGACAGAGUUUUGGCAUUUAGGUGGAGUGUCCUCAGAGUAAGAAGAGUCCUGGUUCAGUUUUGACCCACUGCAGGUUUCCUCUGUCCCGCUUCUUUCUUGAUGUGCUGAGAAUAAACAACCAAUACUCAGAACAGGUCCAGUCAACAACAAUUAUUUAUUACACAUAUAUGCGGGAAAUCCACACAACACCACCUAAAGCACGGUCCGGUAGAUCUCAACGAGGAACUACACAGGCUUCACUAUUUAAAGGGCUGUACAUUCCCUGUCUGCAUAAGCAAAGUGUAUUAUCAUGCAACAAUGACAGUUAAUUUGACCCCUCCUACGCAGUAUGCUUGCACGUCACUAACAGUCUCAACGCUCUUUCACCUCAAGCUGUUUCCUCUUAUUCUCUUUUAUCAGUGCAAACGUAGGCGAUGCUCUCUGCAACUCUGCACAAAGCUUCCUGUUCUGAGCUUCCUGUUCUGCACAGUUUCAGUCUGGCUAAGCAGCCUAGAAACUAUGGCACAAUUUAUAACUGAAAGGUGGCCUUUUAAUAUACUGGCCUGUUAUUGAUGCAUCAAACAAAAUACACAGCAAAUAAGCACUAGGAUAAAAUAAAAUAUAUUUCCUAAUACCUUCUCAUUGUUUUAUUGUUAUGAUAUAGAAGAGAAGACAGUUUUAUUUCUUAUUAAAUGUAUUUAAAUCUUUAUGGAUGUUGGUUAAAUAAUACUGUGUGAUAGAUUUUUUUCUCUGAAAAUUAUUAGACCCUAAAGAGUACUCUCUCUGCUCCCUGAAACAUAAAUUACUAAUCAAUAAUCAGUUUAUAAACAUGAGAUAGGCUAAUUACUAGGGCUGCCAAGAUUAGUCGACUAGUCACGAUUAUGUUGACUUUCAAAACUGUAGACGAUUAAUUUGACUAAUUCGUUUGAAGCUUCGUAAGAGCCUGAAAGAUGCAGGAAUAAGUAGUAGGACUUAACAGUGUAGUAACGGACUAAAACAGAAGAUGGCAGCAAUGCAUCUAUAAGGAUGCCAGCUGCUGUUAAACACCGAAGAAGAAGGAGCAGUCAAUGAACAGGGCUGAAUAUGUGAACCUGAACUACAAAUCCAGCUGAUGGAUUUGGUUGAUAUAAACUCAUCCUUUGACUCUACAACAGGAAAACAGGUCUUAUUUUACAGCUUUGAACCUUUCAGACAAAUCUGUGAUACUCUAGUACUGAAGAAAUAACAUUUAUGGGAGCACUCCAUUAUUGUUUACUUGUUUUUCAAUAAUUUAUGGUACAAGACACUUAUUGUAUGGUU